GGGGAAUGUGUCAAAGAGACAACAACCCGACCAAAUAAAAACAACAGCAGAGGGUCACCAACAGGUCUUCAAUGUAGCGAGAAAUUCCCGCACCCGGAGGCGUCCUUCAGCUGGCCCCUGAAAAAAUAUAUACUAGUCCAGUGAUAAUGAACGCCAUACUAAUUUCCAAAUUGUACACAAGAAACUAAAAUUAAAAUAAUACAAGACUAACAAAGGCCAGAGGCUCCUGACUUGGGACAGGCGCAAAAAUGCGGCGGGGUUAAACAUGUUUGUGAGAUCUCAACCCUCCCCCUAUACCUCUAACCAAUGUAGAAAAGUAAACGCCUAACAAUACGCACAUUAAAAUUCAGUUCAAGAGAAGUCCGAGUCUGAUGUCAGAAGAUGUAACCAAAGAAAAUAAACAAAAUGACAAAAAUACAUAAAUAACAACAGACUACUAGCAGUUAACUGACAUGCCAGCUCCAGACUUCAAUUAAACUGACUGAAAGAUUAUGAUUUCAUCAUAUGAACAUCAGGCACA
RNAcentral lists this long non-coding RNA (520 nucleotides) under Mytilus galloprovincialis (Mediterranean mussel). The record is from RNAcentral. Lineage: Eukaryota; Metazoa; Mollusca; Bivalvia; Mytilida; Mytilidae.